UUCCAAGAAAUACAGCUUUGAACUAGAAUUCCAUACCUUAUAAAACUCUUUUUCCAAUCUUGUUUUUGUCUGAACAUUCUCAAAUCUUCAAUUGCACCUUCAAAAUUUCUCAACCAAAAUCAGCUUCAGGCGAGAGAAACUCUUCCCAAGGUGCCCAAUUUCUUUCAACCCAUUUACGUGUACGUGCUUCGUGUUCAGUUUCUUAAUCUUUUGGACCAAAUUUCUCUAAGAAUGUUUCAUCUACUGGGAAUUAAUCUGCUUUCAAUAAUCUGCUUUUAAUUUUAAAGUGUUUGGGGAUUAGGAAGUCUAAUUCAUAACAGUUGAAUAUACGAUCCGCAAACUGCUUAAGGUAUCUGCAAACUCCUCAAUGGCAACUUGUGGUGAUGAAACUUUCCGCUUGAAGGUGCAUAAGAGGGUGGCCGAUUAAUUAAACAAUGGAGUGCGUGGUGCCGAUGGAUUGGUAUUGGUAUCCCUGGUCAACAAAUCUAUGAAAGGAGUAUCAUCCACUCAGUCAAUCAGGUACGUUAUCUGGCAUUCCCAUAGUCCCAUGGGUCUCCCUGAUGGUGUUUGUUGAUUGUUGUAUUUGCAUUAUGGACUAUUGGCUAUUGUUGUGUUUACAUUGUCUAAAUCUUAUAAAGUGUGUUAUAUUUUCUAA
Molecule: long non-coding RNA, 655 nt
Organism: Papaver somniferum (opium poppy)
Lineage: Eukaryota; Viridiplantae; Streptophyta; Magnoliopsida; Ranunculales; Papaveraceae
Exons: 2
Source: RefSeq, a predicted model, not a curated record